Molecule: transfer RNA, 72 nt
Filed under: Nitrosomonas sp.
Lineage: Bacteria; Pseudomonadati; Pseudomonadota; Betaproteobacteria; Nitrosomonadales; Nitrosomonadaceae
Description: tRNA-Glu
Rfam family: tRNA
About the family: Transfer RNA (tRNA) molecules are approximately 80 nucleotides in length.
Source: RNAcentral
UCCGCUAUGGUGUAGUUGGUAACAUGACUGGUUUUCAUCCAGUAGCCCCGGGUUCGAUUCCCGAUAGCGGAU